RNAcentral lists this long non-coding RNA (617 nucleotides) under Ursus americanus (American black bear). RNAcentral describes it as "lncRNA (ENSUAMG00000007310.1)". Lineage: Eukaryota; Metazoa; Chordata; Mammalia; Carnivora; Ursidae. The record is from RNAcentral.
GCCAGGCGAAUAAGUACCGUAUAAACUAAUGUUUACAUGUUGCGAAGCCCAAGAAGUGGGAAGAAAGGCCGCUCCCCUAAAAAAGGUCUAGAAUCUUGUGAGGUUGGAGCUCUGAGUGACCUGAUCCAAACCUGAGUCAGCGAGUGACUGUACCAGAGUUGAACCCCGUAUCCCCAUCACAGGGCUUUCUCUGUGGAGACUUCAUCUUCUGAAACCCAAGUCCAGAGCUCAUAUGGGGUCGCGUUCUCUCUCAAACUUCCCUGUAUAGCCUUGCAUCUGGCAGCCACCCUCUCAGAGAAAGAAGAGCUCCUGUGUGAGUCAUGCCUGUGAGGCUUUUGGGGUAGACCAGAAGCCCGAGCCCCGGGGAGGGCUCCCACAGCCAGUGCUGGACCCACGCCUGUUUCCUGCGGCCCUGUGUGCAGACCCGCUGAAAGAGGGCCAACAGAUCCCAGCCUGGCCUCACCCUGAUCACUGCAGGCCUGAGUACGCCACGUCCCUGCCCCUUCCUUCGUCAGCGGAGCAAAGUGUCUCUGGACGCUUGAACAGAGACCCAGGAAGGUGAGCCUGAGCCAGUUGGAUCUCUGAGCGAAGCUUCCAGGCAGAGGAACUGGCAAGUG